Molecule: RNase P RNA, 369 nt
Filed under: Legionella sp.
Lineage: Bacteria; Pseudomonadati; Pseudomonadota; Gammaproteobacteria; Legionellales; Legionellaceae
Description: RNase P RNA component class A
Rfam family: Bacterial RNase P class A
About the family: Ribonuclease P (RNase P) is a ubiquitous endoribonuclease, found in archaea, bacteria and eukarya as well as chloroplasts and mitochondria. Its best characterised activity is the generation of mature 5'-ends of tRNAs by cleaving the 5'-leader elements of precursor-tRNAs.
Source: RNAcentral
AGAGUUGGUUAGGCAAUCGCUCUUUGUGCAUACAAAGGGAGGAAAGUCCGGGCUCCAAAGGGCAAGGUGCCAGGUAACGCCUGGGAGGUGUAAGCCUACGGAAAGUGCCACAGAAAAUAUACCGCCUAUAUUCUAUCUCGAUAGGAUAUAGGUAAGGGUGAAAUGGUGCGGUAAGAGCGCACCGCACGAUUGGCAACAGUCGUGGCAGGGAAAACCCCACCUGGAGCAAGACCAAAUAGGAAUCCAUUGACAUUGUCAGAGCAUGCGGCCCGCAUGGGAUUCGGGUAGGUCGCUUGAGGCAUGUGGUGACAUGUGCCCUAGAUGAAUGAUUGUCCACGACAGAACCCGGCUUACCGACCAACUCGUUUU